GGAGGAAAGCAGGGGAUCGCAAGACCUUGCGCUUUUGGAGCGGCCGAUGCCUGAUUAGCUUGUUGGUGAGGUAAAAGCUCACCAAGGCUUCGAUCAGUAGCUGGUCUGAGAGGACGACCAGCCACACUGGGACUGAGACACGGCCCAGACUCCUACGGGAGGCAGCAGUGGGGAAUUUUGGACAAUGGGGGCAACCCUGAUCCAGCCAUGCCGCGUGAGUGAAGAAGGCCUUCGGGUUGUAAAGCUCUUUCAGCCGGAACGAAACGGUUACGGUUAAUACCCGUGACUACUGACGGUACCGGAAGAAGAAGCACCGGCUAACUACGUGCCAGCAGCCGCGGUAAUACGUAGGGUGCGAGCGUUAAUCGGAAUUACUGGGCGUAAAGCGUGCGCAGGUGGUUUUGUAANUCAGAUGUGAAAUCCCCCGGCUUAACCCUGGGAACUGCGUUUGAAACUACAAAGCUAGA
Molecule: ribosomal RNA, 467 nt
Filed under: uncultured beta proteobacterium
Lineage: Bacteria; Pseudomonadati; Pseudomonadota; Betaproteobacteria
Description: bacterial SSU rRNA
Rfam family: Bacterial small subunit ribosomal RNA
Source: RNAcentral